Ceratina calcarata is the source of this 2961-nucleotide long non-coding RNA. RefSeq lists it as uncharacterized. The record is from RefSeq and is a predicted model, not a curated record. The transcript is spliced from 3 exons. Lineage: Eukaryota; Metazoa; Arthropoda; Insecta; Hymenoptera; Apidae.
ACCAAUUUGACAAUUCGGGGAUUUGUGACGAGCAGUGCGAACAAAAAUGUGAAACCUGCAAAGGGUCAUCGUGAAACUCGAAGUUAUGACAAUGAUUUUUUAGUAAUAUAAUCGCGACGGAUAAAUUAUAGGAAAAAGGGGACGGAAGGUUGAAAACCAUCAUCGAGCUUAUCAUCGCGAAUUACCACGUGUGGUCAUUGGAAUAUCGAUCAAGUACUUACGGACUGCCCUACCAUAAAAGACAGUCGAUUCCGACUACCUUGACUGUUCCAAACGCGAUAAGUUUAUCUUAAACGGCGAUUAGCAGAAGGACGUAAUAAGGAAGGUCGUUCAGAUAGCAAGGCACGUUCACGGUAAGAGGCUAAACAUCCUCGAAAAUCCACUGCAAUUCUAUGGCCCUCAACGGGGACGAAAUUUAAUGACGUUUUCCUAUGAACAUAGAUGGAUAUGGCCAUAACGAGAAUAUACGAGACUUGCCAAAGCAGCUUCUAAAAAAGUACUCGAAGCAACAAUAGUGACUCAUAAAUGUGCGUAGUAUUGUUGUUCAACGUACUACGCAGCCUGCCACAUUAUUUUGCAUAUUUUAAAGCAGCACUUUGUUUGCAAUAAAAGACAUGACAUUUCGUUAAAUCUGAAUUAUGACUGUUAAUCUAGCUUAACAACGAUACUGCAAAGAAAUUUUUUUACGGAACGAGCGUCGUUAAUCAGCCCGGUUUUAUUGUAUGCAACUACGAGUGCGGGGAUUAUUUCUUUUUGUUCGAUGGAGAAAGCAAAAGCGAUCGACAAAUAGAAUAUGUUUCUCUACGGUCACUGCACUAUUCGCGGUGCGUGUCGCGGCUUUUCAGGGACGUGAGUUUCGUCGCACUGGCCCGGAAAAUGUAGCGCACUGCGACAAAUUUAUGCAACGGGAAAUCGCGUGUAACAUUCGACGUGGUAUCAACUUCGCAAUCGUCAGAAACAAACCGCGCAUCAUUUCUAUUCGAACAAUAGUAUUAAAAAGAAUAAUUGCGACCUACGAAUCAUUAUCGAACUAGCCAAUAAUCUGGUCGCGGGUCGUGCACGUAGCAAGGCACGUUCGCGGUAAGAGGUCAAACAUCCUCGAAAACCAUUGCAAUUCUGUGGCCCUCAGCGGGGAUGAAAUUUAAUGACGAACGACGGAAACGUGCCUAACGCGACGCUUCCUCCUCCCAUAAACGGAGGGUCCUCGAAGGAGAGAAAAAAAGAGAGAGGAAGAGAGAGACCCCCGGCCAGCUGCCGCGGUCGGUUCUCUCGAUAGUACAUUCGUCGGGCGUAGUUAUGCGUACGGCCCUGAGCGGUUUCUCCUCGCAAGUACACGUGUACGCACGCGAGAUGCGCGUAUAAAUACGCGCGCUUCGCGUCGGUUUAUUUAUACGCAAGGGUGUCCGUUGCGUGGCACCCACACCCUCGCCGCAACGGAAAAUCAUGUUUUGUUUCCUUCUCGUCGCGAUUCAUUGUCAUGGUGACUGAGAUUUAAAUAGUUUAACGAAUUCGGCAGAGGUUAAUAGAAACUUAUUUACAUGUGGACACGCUUGGAUAAACGAGAAACGCAGGUUUCAAGAUCAGAUAUUACUAAUUUCACUCCGGUUUGAACUUGACUGAUCGCGUCGCGUUCAAGAUAAUUGCGCAGAGAUAUUUCAACUAAUAACCAGGUUGCGAAUUUUAUGAAUUUAUAAAAAAGAAGUACACGUAGUAUCAGCGCGUCGUGAUUUUUAAAGGAAUAUCUUACUGUAUUUUGUUGAAAGUUUCGUCUUGCAUAAAAAUUUAGCAAUAUAUAACAAGAGAUUGGCAAUAAAUCUAGAAAAUGUAAAUCGAUAGGCGAAAGGAGAAAGCGAAGAGAGGACGUAACCCUCAAAGGAGGACAUUAUCUCGCAGAUGUGGUCUGAUGCACGCAAUACAGUCUACUUCUUUGGCGAAGUAGGGUGAAGCGUGUUUCGGCAUGAAAUAUUGCGUGCCGCCGCAGCUGCGCUUCUCUCUUUGUCUCCUUUUAUUCACCCCGUGCACAACGUGUCUUCUGCCCCUCCUCCGCCUCAUGUUUCCCCGCAUAAGAAAACUGUGCGACACGCCAACGCACCGCGUUAAAUAUGUGUACUUUUACUUCCAACUGGCGAGGAUUAAUUCCUCCGAGAUCUUUUAAUAAAACAGUCUUAAUCUCUCCAGUUUCCAACGAUUCGUAUCUUCGUUUCUUGUAGCGCGACGUUAUCGCGCAACCCGGCUACAUACAAUGCGAGAAACUUUAUCUCUCGUGCCGCCGACAUGUGCUCGUAAAAUGCGCACGAACUGAAAGUCGCGAAUCGCAAUACGAAAAGCGUUUUAAAAAUAGCCGGUUGAAAAAUUCUUUCUAUAUAAUGCGAUCAGACGAUACGGUUAACAUGGUUCGCGUGAAAGGAAUUAUAAACAAGGAAUUGUAGAUAACGAACGUAGCAUUUUUCGCAAAAGUGUUAUUUCCCGCCAGUUCGCGCACUAACAUGGGAGCGGAUCGAACAGUAAAGCGUUCCACGGUGCGCAUCGUUUGCCGCUAUUAUCGCACCCGGUCGUUCAUAUUAAAUUCAUCCCUAUGAAUUUCCCCCGAGCGUAAUUUUCUGUCAACAUCACGAAAAACGUUUUGCAUACGACAACAAUUAAGAUUCUUAAACAUAGGAGAAUUUCUAUCAGGAAGAACGUAGUACGAAUAAAUGGAAGGAGUUCAUCAAUGUAAGUUCACGUGGGAGAUUAGAUAGAAAGAGAUGAGAGAAAUCUUUAUCGAAAUCGUAUGCGCUAGACAUCGUUGCGUGACUUGUUACGAUCGAAUUUCUAAACUACAGUAGGUAUUGGAAAUCGCAAGUGAAAAUGCGAAAAAGAAGAGUAUCGUAGGACGGCGUGAGAUAGGUUCGCAAGCACGCAAGCGUGAUCUCCUUUCGGGAGUUCGAGGGAUGUACAUUAUCAAUGAUAAAAUCCGCGUAU